UUUCUACUUGCUGGACAGACUGCUGCCACACCAGCUGGCUAGGUCGCUCUGAGAAGAAAAACUUUGGAUACCAUCAAAAUUGAUCAAGAUUCCAGUCAAAAAAAAAAAAAAGCAACCCGUGGAGGAGGAGAAAUGCCAGAUAAUCUACCAGGGUGUAUCUCAUAAACUGGAUAGAAACCUCACAAAGGAAAGGGUAGAUUCUUAAAGAAGUCCCACACAGCCAAUGAAGAACUGCCUGACACCAAUCUUUAAUGCUCUGGAAAGAAAAUGGGUGAUGCCUCCUAGAGUACACUGGAUCUAACUUGAUUCAUUUGAACUGACUGUGGCCAGAACUUCGGGUACUGCCUCCAAUCAACACAAGAACUUCAAUCAAGAUAAGGACUUCAACAUAGACCUUCAAUCCAGCAUCUCCCAGCAAACAUGAACUGGAUAUAAUUCACUUAAGACUGUCACUAUUCUAACAUUUUCUUCCCACAGACCCCACGAGCCUGUCAGCAUCAGAAUUCAGCAUGAAGUAGCUUGGAGACUACUACAUCCCCUUUCCCCACUGUUGACACCUAGUUGGGCUAGUUUCUUAUUGUUUAAGGUUGGGUUUGGAAGGAGGUGUUCAAGCUUGAACAUCUCUUUCAGAUGAGUUUAAGGUUUAUUUGUAAUGGACAUUGUUAAGAUGUGAUAUUAUUAGAUUAUUAUAUCUUC
RNAcentral lists this long non-coding RNA (696 nucleotides) under Cricetulus griseus (Chinese hamster). Its description in RNAcentral is "lncRNA (ENSCGRG00015034346.1)". The record is from RNAcentral. Lineage: Eukaryota; Metazoa; Chordata; Mammalia; Rodentia; Cricetidae.